GGCUUGGAGGCAAGCAAAAGAGAAAGAGGGGAAAGAGAGAAAGAAAGAGAGGAGAGAGGGAACGAGGGUGAUGGGAUACAGAGAAAACAGUGGCAACGAGUGUGAUUAAAUCAGUGAAAGGAAAAACGAAAAACAUUAAAAGAGCUUUGAGACAUCACUGAGAGUGAGGAUGCUAUAAAAUGAAACCGUGCGGAGAAAGGGUCUGCUUUUCCAGCAUGUUCCCCAUCUUGGAAAUAAAAUAAUGAUAUAGUGUAUGGAUCAGUGAAAAGAGACUUUACAAAUAUCGAGGAUUGGCACCACGUUUCAAAAUAAUCAUUUCAUUACCCUUACCAGUGAUUCUCUUCUGCUUCUGAUUUGGUGCUGUAUCAUCUGUUCAUCUGAAAAUUCAUCGCUUUCGACUAUUGGAGGAAACGCUCUUUUGCCGACAGUGCGUCUACCCUGCCGGAGCCUUAUGCUCCUUCUGCUUCAGCAAAAGCCACAGUUACGUGUAGAUGUUUGGGUGGAACAAAAAUGGAAGAAUUCUUUCUUAUUCGAAAGAAUUACAUCUGUUUCCCAGUCUGAACUGACCAUUAAGGAACUGCUAAGAUCUGCUUUCAAGAUGGAAUAAAAAAAUAAAAACAACAAUUCUACCAAAAAAGAAUUACCACUCCAUUUUAUUCCCAGAAUUCCUGGACGUUUGUUGGACUACAGGAUGGAAAAGAUUUGAAGUUACCUGCUGAUUAUGGAUUUAUGGAUUUUCUGUUAAAUACUCCUGGAUGGACUAUUAAAAUUCACAGCAGCACAUAUAAUAACCCUUAAAUUCUCCCAGGACAGCAAAUAAAUUAAUGCAAAAAGAGGAUGGGAGUUUUCAAUUGAAAAGAAAGGGUUCAAAGUAUCAAGAAGUUGCUUUGUCAACAGUAUUAAAAUAACGAAAUUCUCCUAAUGUAUUCCUUCACUUAAAAAUUGAACUGUGUAUCUGUUUAUAAAUAAAUAUGUUUUACUUUGUCAUUUUUCUGUUGUGUAUUUAAGAUGUCACUUUAUUUUCUGAUUAAACUAUGUAUGCCACUUUUGCCAAAUAUAUGUAUAUUUUUUCUUCUGUUGUUAAAGUCUAAAUUUGAGUAAAUAAAAAUGAAAUCCAAUGUA
Long non-coding RNA from Erpetoichthys calabaricus (reedfish), 1122 nucleotides. RefSeq lists it as uncharacterized. The transcript is spliced from 3 exons. Lineage: Eukaryota; Metazoa; Chordata; Cladistia; Polypteriformes; Polypteridae. The record is from RefSeq and is a predicted model, not a curated record.